Long non-coding RNA from Orcinus orca (killer whale), 234 nucleotides. RefSeq lists it as uncharacterized. NCBI's taxonomy places the organism in Eukaryota, Metazoa, Chordata, Mammalia, Artiodactyla, Delphinidae. The transcript has 3 exons. The record is from RefSeq and is a predicted model, not a curated record.
AAGCCCACACAUGGUAUUUCAGUUCCUCAGAUCUGCGUUUUGGAGGCUAUGCUCAUCUCUGGGAAAGCUCUCAGGGAAACGUGAAAAUGGCUGAUAGGCUCAGGAGAAUUAGAAGAAAGGUCAUUCUUACUGUGCUUGGUCCACAUUCUGGGUUGGCGAAGUUUCCAAUUAGACGUGGCCUGCCAAGUCCACAAGUGGUAGCAAGUUCCACUUCCUACCUUUCCCUUUGCUCCA